AGAUGGCCAAUGUCUUCUCUUAGGCUUCAAUCUUGUAAUCUUUUUUCUAUUUUAUCUAUCACAUAACAAUAAAAUUUAAUUAAUAAAGGAACUUUUUACCUCAGGAGUUUUCUUCUGAUUCUUGGUCAUGUGCUUGUUCGCUGUGCAAUCUAAUCAUCAUGGUUGUAUGAUCACUACCAAACCCCUUCCAUAGGUCAUGGCUUUGCCUAUUAGAGCC
Molecule: long non-coding RNA, 217 nt
Filed under: Elaeis guineensis (African oil palm)
Lineage: Eukaryota; Viridiplantae; Streptophyta; Magnoliopsida; Arecales; Arecaceae
Description: long non-coding RNA (EGUI_LNC031245)
Source: RNAcentral